This 157-nucleotide non-coding RNA is filed under the name unclassified sequences. The record is from RNAcentral.
UGUUUUAUGUUUCGUUAGUGUCAUGAACUAACUCCCGGAAAUGUAAAACUAAAAAUUUAAUAUAAUGCAGUAUUCGUUGGGACGUUGUCUGCAAAUGAAUGGAGUUUACUUUCCUUUCUUUUGCGAUGACUUGAAACUGCCUAAACACUGCAUAAAG